Molecule: small RNA, 30 nt
Filed under: Bombyx mori (domestic silkworm)
Lineage: Eukaryota; Metazoa; Arthropoda; Insecta; Lepidoptera; Bombycidae
Description: ovarian small RNA-13836
Source: RNAcentral
CCGAUAUUGGAGCCCCUGCGCUCCGGCUGC